UACGGAGGAUCCAAGCGUUAUCCGGAAUCAUUGGGUUUAAAGGGUCCGUAGGCGGUUUUGUAAGUCAGUGGUGAAAUCCGGCAGCUCAACUGUCGAACUGCCAUUGAUACUGCAGGACUUGAAUUAUUGUGAAGUAACUAGAAUAUGUAGUGUAGCGGUGAAAUGCUUAGAUAUUACAUGGAAUACCCAUUGCGAAGGCAGGUUACUAACAAUGGAUUGACGCUGAUGGACGAAAGCGUGGGGAGCGAACAGGAUUAGAACCU
This 263-nucleotide ribosomal RNA is filed under the name uncultured bacterium. RNAcentral describes it as "partial 16S ribosomal RNA". It matches the Rfam family "Bacterial small subunit ribosomal RNA", at positions 524 to 788 of the family's 1533-position model. The record is from RNAcentral.